This 501-nucleotide ribosomal RNA is filed under the name Triticum aestivum (bread wheat). RNAcentral describes it as "partial small subunit ribosomal RNA". Lineage: Eukaryota; Viridiplantae; Streptophyta; Magnoliopsida; Poales; Poaceae. The record is from RNAcentral.
AUGGUGGAUGGCGGCGCGGAGCUCACCAAGACGACGCCCAUUGCCAACAUCAUCAACCCGGCUCCAUGGAGGACGGAGGCGUGGAGUUCGCGAGGGUGCCGUUGUCGUGCCACGGGGGAUGGUGACACGGAGCUCGCUAAGACGACGCCUGUUGUCUUCUUCAUCAAGAUGACGCCAUGGAGGAUGGAGGCGUGGAGCUCGCGAGGAUGCUGCCACCGUGCCACGAUGGAUGGCGACACAGAGCUCGCCAGUACGACGCCCGUCGUCUUCUUCAUCAAGCCGACGCCAUGGAGGACGGAGGCGUGGAGCUCGCGAGGAUGCCACCGUCGUGUUCCAUGGUGGAUGGCGACACAGAGCUUGCCGGGAUGGCACCCAUCAUCAAAAUCAUCAAGCCGGCGCCAUGGAGGAUGGAGGCGAAGCUCAUGUGGACGUCGCCGCCGCCCCACAGUGUGUGGCGACAUGGAGCUCACUAGGACGUUGCCCAUAAUAAAUAUCAUCUAA